Molecule: long non-coding RNA, 401 nt
Organism: Rhagoletis zephyria (snowberry fruit fly)
Lineage: Eukaryota; Metazoa; Arthropoda; Insecta; Diptera; Tephritidae
Source: RefSeq, a predicted model, not a curated record
AUGGUGAAAUAAUAAUAAGGUGUUGUCACUUAGGGGGUGGUUGUUGUAGUUUUGGCAAUUUCGGCAUACCAGCGUUACAGUAAUGCCUACUCUAUUUAUUCCAAUUUCCUUUCUGGGCAAAAUAGAACAAAAAAUGUAGCAGACAACAAUCUUGUGAAAAAAGUAAGCGUAGGUAUCACUAUUUCUUUGAGUCUCCUUUUCUCUGACUUUUCGUUUCAAAUUUAUUGGAAAAUCUGAGCGAUAGUUUGCAAUAAUUGUGAUUUUGUUGAGCUAUUAUCCCGCAAAAAGCAGCGAUUUAUUCAAGAUAAUUCCAGGUUUUUAGAACAGCACCUUUUAAGUUUUAGAGCUGGCUACAGUUGUUUAUUGGGGCAGUGUCUCAUCAGCGGCGCUACCAACAGCGG